GCUCCCUGAUGUUAGCGGCGGACGGGUGAGUAACACGUGGGUAACCUGCCUGUAAGACUGGGAUAACUCCGGGAAACCGGGGCUAAUACCGGAUGCUUGUUUGAACCGCAUGGUUCAAACAUAAAAGGUGGCUUCGGCUACCACUUACAGAUGGACCCGCGGCGCAUUAGCUAGUUGGUGAGGUAACGGCUCACCAAGGCAACGAUGCGUAGCCGACCUGAGAGGGUGAUCGGCCACACUGGGACUGAGACACGGCCCAGACUCCUACGGGAGGCAGCAGUAGGGAAUCUUCCGCAAUGGACGAAAGUCUGACGGAGCAACGCCGCGUGAGUGAUGAAGGUUUUCGGAUCGUAAAGCUCUGUUGUUAGGGAAGAACAAGUACCGUUCGAAUAGGGCGGUACCUUGACGGUACCUAACCAGAAAGCCACGGCUAACUACGUGCCAGCAGCCGCGGUAAUACGUAGGUGGCAAGCGUUGUCCGGAAUUAUUGGGCGUAAAGGGCUCGCAGGCGGUUUCUUAAGUCUGAUGUGAAAGCCCCCGGCUCAACCGG
This 550-nucleotide ribosomal RNA is filed under the name Bacillus subtilis. RNAcentral describes it as "bacterial SSU rRNA". It matches the Rfam family "Bacterial small subunit ribosomal RNA", at positions 81 to 616 of the family's 1533-position model. The record is from RNAcentral. Lineage: Bacteria; Bacillati; Bacillota; Bacilli; Caryophanales; Bacillaceae.